Molecule: ribosomal RNA, 957 nt
Filed under: uncultured bacterium
Lineage: Bacteria
Description: bacterial SSU rRNA
Rfam family: Bacterial small subunit ribosomal RNA
Source: RNAcentral
GUCAAGCCGCAACUUUGGGUUGUGGUGAGGGUAGUGGGUAAAGAAGCACCGGCUAACUACGUGCCAGCAGCCGCGGUAAUACGUAGGGUGCGAGCGUUGUCCGGAAUUAUUGGGCGUAAAGGGCUUGUAGGCGGUUUGUCGCGUCUGCCGUGAAAUCCUCUGGCUUAACUGGGGGCGUGCGGUGGGUACGGGCAGACUUGAGUGCGGUAGGGGAGACUGGAACUCCUGGUGUAGCGGUGGAAUGCGCAGAUAUCAGGAAGAACACCGGUGGCGAAGGCGGGUCUCUGGGCCGUUACUGGCGCUGAGGAGCGAAAGCGUGGGGAGCGAACAGGAUUAGAUACCCUGGUAGUCCCACGCCGUAAACGUGGGGCAAUAGGGGUGGGGGCCACCCGUGGUUUCUGCGCCGUAGCUAACGCUUUAAGUGCCCCGCCUGGGGAGUACGGCCGCAAGGCUAAAACUCAAAGGAAUUGACGGGGGCCCGCACAAGCGGCGGAGCAUGCGGAUUAAUUCGAUGCAACGCGAAGAACCUUACCAAGGCUUGACAUGCACGGCGGCACUGCAGAGAUGUGGUGGCAUUUAGUUGGUCGUGUGCAGGUGGUGCAUGGUUGUCGUCAGCUCGUGUCGUGAGAUGUUGGGUUAAGUCCCGCAACGAGCGCAACCCUUGCCCUAUGUUGCCAGCACGUUAUGGUGGGGACUCGUGGGGGACUGCCGGGGUUAACUCGGAGGAAGGUGGGGAUGACGUCAAAUCAUCAUGCCCCUUAUGUCUUGGGCUUCACGCAUGCUACAAUGGCUGGUACAGAGGGUUGCGAUACUGUGAGGUGGAGCGAAUCCCUUAAAGCCGGUCUCAGUUCGGAUUGGGGUCUGCAACUCGACCCCAUGAAGGUGGAGUCGCUAGUAAUCGCAGAUCAGCAACGCUGCGGUGAAUACGUUCUCGGGCCUUGUACACACCGCCCGUCA